CCUACGGGAGGCAGCAGUGAGGAAUAUUGGUCAAUGGACGAGAGUCUGAACCAGCCAAGUAGCGUGAAGGAUGACUGCCCUAUGGGUUGUAAACUUCUUUUAUAUGGGAAUAAAAUGUUCCACGUGUGGGAUUUUGUAUGUACCAUAUGAAUAAGGAUCGGCUAACUCCGUGCCAGCAGCCGCGGUAAUACGGAGGAUCCGAGCGUUAUCCGGAUUUAUUGGGUUUAAAGGGAGCGUAGGUGGAUUGUUAAGUCAGUUGUGAAAGUUUGCGGCUCAACCGUAAAAUUGCAGUUGAAACUGGCAGUCUUGAGUACAGUAGAGGUGGGCGGAAUUCGUGGUGUAGCGGUGAAAUGCUUAGAUAUCACGAAGAACUCCGAUUGCGAAGGCAGUUCACUGGACUGCAACUAACACUGAGGCUCGAAAGUGUGGGUAUCAAACAGGAUUAGAUACCCCAGUAGUC
Molecule: ribosomal RNA, 460 nt
Filed under: uncultured bacterium
Lineage: Bacteria
Description: partial 16S ribosomal RNA
Rfam family: Bacterial small subunit ribosomal RNA
Source: RNAcentral